UACGCAGGCGGCUUGGUAAGACAGGCGUGAAAUCCCCGGGCUUAACCUGGGAACUGCGCUUGUGACUGCCGGGCUAGAGUCUGUCAGAGGGGGGUGGAAUUCCACGUGUAGCAGUGAAAUGCGUAGAGAUGUGGAGGAACACCGAUGGCGAAGGCAGCCCCCUGGGAUAAGACUGACGCUCAUGUACGAAAGCGUGGGGAGCAAACAGGAUUAGAUACCCUGGUAGUCCACGCCCUAAACGAUGUCGACUAGUUGUCGGGGAUUAACUUCCUCGGUAACGCAGCUAACGCGUGAAGUCGACCGCCUGGGGAGUACGGUCGCAAGAUUAAA
This 330-nucleotide ribosomal RNA is filed under the name uncultured bacterium. RNAcentral's name for it is "bacterial SSU rRNA". It matches the Rfam family "Bacterial small subunit ribosomal RNA", at positions 568 to 898 of the family's 1533-position model. The record is from RNAcentral.